Molecule: long non-coding RNA, 702 nt
Organism: Bemisia tabaci
Lineage: Eukaryota; Metazoa; Arthropoda; Insecta; Hemiptera; Aleyrodidae
Source: RefSeq, a predicted model, not a curated record
CAAUGAAUUUUAGCGGAUCCUUUGGCUCAAUAUACGCCGACAGUGCCACUCCGAAGAAUGCUGAAAACCAAACAGAAAAUUUGGGUUUGAUGAACUGAGGGAUCGAUGACGGUUUAGGUUUAUUUCUGAGAUGAGGGUAACUAGUCUCUUCUCUGGUGAACGUAUGGAUUCUUGGCCAGGUUUGGUGACCGGACCAAAGAAAAAAUCCAAAUUGGAUUACCUCCCCUCACCUACCCUUUAUUUUUUCACCUCAAGGAAAGAUUAUUCAAUUCAUGUCAAAUUUGUUAUUAAAAUAAGGGUUUGUAUUUCAUUUGGAUUUUACUGUAAAGUAUGAGAUUAUUUAUUUAGACUUAAAAGUUAAGAGAGACUAUAGCGUUUGCUUUUUCAUUUAUGUUUUAUUUCUAAAGCACUCCCAUUAUAACGUAAUUAUGUGGUUAGUUCAAUUAGUAACCUAGAAUACCUAACAUAGGGCCCAAAGAACCUUCAUUUUGUUGAGAGCCAGACAGUUACAAUUCGAGCAAGCUUUCAAAGCCCUAGUUUCUUUGAGUUUUACCAUUAAUAGUGAAGAGAAAUAAUACUUUAUUUGGCACUUGUUCUGAUAAAUGCGCUAAAAAUAGAUCAGUAAAUGAGAGGAAGAUGAUGAAUACUUGGGAACUUUUUCAAGUACUUCACUCAUCUACUAACUGGAUAUUUUCCUAACUC